GUGCCAGCAGCCGCGGUAAUACGUAGGGGGCAAGCGUUGUCCGGAAUCAUUGGGCGUAAAGCGCGCGUAGGCGGCCCGGUAAGUCCGCUGUAAAAGUCCAGGGCUCAACCCUGGAAAGCCGGUGGAUACUGUCGGGCUAGAGUCCGGAAGAGGCGAGUGGAAUUCCUGGUGUAGCGGUGGAAUGCGCAGAUAUCAGGAGGAACACCGAUGGCGAAGGCAGCUCGCUGGGACGGUACUGACGCUGAGGCGCGAAAGCGUGGGGAGCGAACAGGAUUAGAUACCCUGGUAGUCC
RNAcentral lists this ribosomal RNA (292 nucleotides) under uncultured bacterium. RNAcentral describes it as "partial 16S ribosomal RNA". It matches the Rfam family "Bacterial small subunit ribosomal RNA", at positions 505 to 796 of the family's 1533-position model. The record is from RNAcentral.